UAAUGUAUGGGAGUCUGCCCGAUAGAGGGGGAUAACUACUGGAAACGGUGGCUAUACCGCAUAAUGUCUACGGACCAAAGCAGGGGCUCUUCGGACCUUGCACUAUCGGAUGAACCCAUAUGGGAUUAGCUAGUAGGUGGGGUAAAGGCUCACCUAGGCGACGAUCUCUAGCUGGUCUGAGAGGAUGAUCAGCCACACUGGGACUGAGACACGGCCCAG
RNAcentral lists this ribosomal RNA (219 nucleotides) under uncultured bacterium. RNAcentral describes it as "partial 16S ribosomal RNA". It matches the Rfam family "Bacterial small subunit ribosomal RNA", at positions 111 to 334 of the family's 1533-position model. The record is from RNAcentral.